Molecule: ribosomal RNA, 449 nt
Filed under: uncultured bacterium
Lineage: Bacteria
Description: partial 16S ribosomal RNA
Rfam family: Bacterial small subunit ribosomal RNA
Source: RNAcentral
AACGAACGCUGGCGGCAGACUUAACACAUGCAAGUCGAACGCAUCCUUCGGGGUGAGUGGCAGACGGGUGAGUAACGCGUGGGAACGUGCCCUUCAGUUCGGAAUAACCCAGGGAAACUUGGGCUAAUACCGGAUACGUGCGAGAGCAGAAAGAUUUAUCGCUGAAGGAUCGGCCCGCGUCUGAUUAGCUAGUUGGUGGGGUAAUGGCCCACCAAGGCGACGAUCAGUAGCUGGUCUGAGAGGAUGAUCAGCCACAUUGGGACUAAGACACGGCCCAAACUCCUACGGAAGGCAGCAGUGGGGAAUAUUGGACAAUGGGCGCAAGCCUGAUCCAGCCAUGCCGCGUGAGUGAUGAAGGCCUUAGGGUUGUAAAGCUCUUUCGUCCGGGACGAUAAUGACGGUACCGGAAGAAGAAGCCCCGGCUAACUUCGUGCCAGCCGCCGCCGUAA